CAAAUGCAUGACCUAAUUCUUUAAAAAUGUGUGUGUUUGUGUGUGUGUGUUAUGUAGAGAAGUCAUACACACUAUAUACAUCUAUAUGUAU
This 91-nucleotide microRNA precursor is filed under the name Cavia aperea (Brazilian guinea pig). RNAcentral describes it as "miRNA (ENSCAPG00000003048.1)". Lineage: Eukaryota; Metazoa; Chordata; Mammalia; Rodentia; Caviidae. The record is from RNAcentral.